UAAAAGGAUUUUCUAAAAUCCACUAUCAAUUUUUAAAAGAUAACUG
Molecule: non-coding RNA, 46 nt
Organism: Equus caballus (horse)
Lineage: Eukaryota; Metazoa; Chordata; Mammalia; Perissodactyla; Equidae
Source: Rfam